AGGCAGAGAGGGAGAAAUAACAAGAAUGGAAGAGUCGUUCUUCCAAAAAGGGCCAUCUGUGACCCUGAGAGAUAAACCUGGCAGACCAGGGCUCACAUCUUAGUAAAUCACCUGUAAAUAAAGCUUGCAAGGGCAGUGACUGGAAGCUGGGAGAGAGGGUCAACAGCUGAAUCUCAGCCUGAUGGAGGCCACCAUUUAAUAAGUAAAUACAUGCACAGCUAUUUAGAUCCUGCAUCAGACCGCUUCCUCAGACAGGUCAUCAGAAAACAUGAAGCUAAAUGCAGUAAAGAAUUACUCUCUUGAACU
RNAcentral lists this non-coding RNA (306 nucleotides) under Pan troglodytes (chimpanzee). Lineage: Eukaryota; Metazoa; Chordata; Mammalia; Primates; Hominidae. The record is from RNAcentral.